This 269-nucleotide ribosomal RNA is filed under the name uncultured archaeon. Its description in RNAcentral is "partial 16S ribosomal RNA". It matches the Rfam family "Archaeal small subunit ribosomal RNA", at positions 718 to 982 of the family's 1478-position model. The record is from RNAcentral.
AGUCACUGACAUUAGACUACCCCGGUAGUCCAGGGUGUAAACGCUGCAGACUUGGUGUUGGGAAGCCCGUUUGGGGGCAUUCAGUGCCGGAGAGAAGUUGUUAAGUCUGCUACGUUGGGAGUACGUCCGCAAGGAUAGAAACUUAAAGGAAUUGGCGGGGGAGCACCGCAACGGGAGGAGCGUGCGGUUUAAUUGGGAUUCAACACCGUAAACUCACCAGGGAAGACUGUUACAUGAAGGCCGAGAUGAAGACUCUGCUAGAUUUUCAG